RNAcentral lists this ribosomal RNA (496 nucleotides) under uncultured bacterium. Its description in RNAcentral is "bacterial SSU rRNA". It matches the Rfam family "Bacterial small subunit ribosomal RNA", at positions 26 to 509 of the family's 1533-position model. The record is from RNAcentral.
AGGAUGAACGCGUAGCGACAGGCCUAACACAUGCAAGGUCGAGGGGCAGCGGGAGUGAAGCUUGCUUCACGUUGCCGGCGACCGGCGCACGGGUGAGUAACGCGUAUGCAACCUGCCUGUAACAGGGGGAUAACCCGGAGAAAUCCGGACUAAGACCGCAUAACGCUGGGAGACCGCAUGGUCCUCCAGCCAAAUAUUCAUAGGUUACAGAUGGGCAUGCGUCCGAUUAGCCAGUUGCGGGGUAACGGCCCACCAAAGCGACGAUCGGUAGGGGUUCUGAGAGGAAGGUCCCCCACAUUGGAACUGAGACACGGUCCAAACUCCUACGGGAGGCAGCAGUGAGGAAUAUUGGUCAAUGGACGGAAGUCUGAACCAGCCAUGUCGCGUGGAGGAGGAAGGUGCUAAGCAUUGUAAACUCCUUUUGCCUGGGGGUAAAGUGGGUCACGCGUGGCCUAUUGCAAGUACCAGGCGAAUAAGCAUCGGCUAACUCCGUGCC